UGAGGAAUUUUCCGCAAUGGGCGCAAGCCUGACGGAGCAACGCCGCGUGCAGGAGGACGGCCUUCGGGUUGUAAACUGCUUUUCUGGGGGACGAGCAAGGACGGUACCCCAGGAAGAAGCCCCGGCUCACUACGUGCCAGCAGCCGCGGUAAUACGUAGGGGGCGAGCGUUGUCCGGAGUUACUGGGCGUAAAGCGUCCGCAGGCGGUUCGGCGCGUUUCCGGUGCCAGCCCAUGGCUUAACUGUGGGAGUGCCGGGAAGACGGUCGGACUCGAGGGCCUCAGAGGGACAUAGAAUUCCGGGUGGAGUGGUGAAAUGCGUAGAGAUCCGGAGGAAUACCAAUGGCGCAGGCAGUGUCCUGGGAGGCAGCUGACGCUGAGGGACGAAAGCCAGGGGAGCGAACGGGAUUAGAUACCCCCGUAGUCC
This 425-nucleotide ribosomal RNA is filed under the name uncultured bacterium. RNAcentral describes it as "bacterial SSU rRNA". It matches the Rfam family "Bacterial small subunit ribosomal RNA", at positions 355 to 796 of the family's 1533-position model. The record is from RNAcentral.